This is a long non-coding RNA of Cyprinodon tularosa, 677 nucleotides long. RefSeq lists it as uncharacterized. The record is from RefSeq and is a predicted model, not a curated record. Lineage: Eukaryota; Metazoa; Chordata; Actinopteri; Cyprinodontiformes; Cyprinodontidae. The transcript has 3 exons.
AUUUUGUCUUGUCUCGCCUUUUCAUGUCAUUCAACAUUUCAGCUUAGAGAAUGACAAACAGUAUGAUUUCAGUAUUGGAGUAACAUUAAUUUCACCCAAGGAAAAGAACUACAUGGUGUCAGGAAUCUGCCAGCUCUGCCUUUCUCUCCUUUCUCCGCAGUUGGCUGGAGCUGACAGGUGGGCAUGGUACACACCUGUGGCUUGUUCAGCGGCAUGCGGCUCUGCUAUUUAAGCAGCACUCUGACAGCUGAUGGACGCCAGAGUGUUAACCUUGUUGGUCUUUUCUCGUUAUGAAAACUGUUCCAGUGAUUCCUCGUGCUCUGAUGUUUUCAGUGGAAGAUCUCCGGUUCAGACUGUUCUGGAUCUACCUCUGAAUAAUCCCUCCAGCUCCCUUGGUGGUACCAAGCCGGGCUGGAGAGCCUUUUAAGUCCUUCUGGUUCCAUCAGCUGCCCCCGGAUUCCUCCUCGGCCGCUGCUGCUCGGGCCCCUCCUCACAGACUUCAAUCACCUGCCCACCUGUCGCUCAGUCACCUGCCAACUUCUCUGGAGGUUUCUUAAUCAAUCAGUCCUGCCUGCGUUGAUAGUCCACCUGCUCACCGUGCCGCAGCUCCCAGUGUUUGGUUCCCUCGCUGUUUGAUUAAACGUCUGAAAAUCGCUCUUGCCUUCUGUGUUGAUUCU